CCGAGAACAAGACGCACCCCGAGAACAGGUGUUUUUCUGGGGGCAAUUAAUGUACGGAAAGUCGAGAAAACUUUACUUUGGUCCAAAUGUUUGGUCUAAGAAGGUUCCAGAAAAAACGGCAGUAUUGCUUUGUCGACUGAAACUCCGGGAACCCACGCAGUCACGGAGAGAACAUGCAAACUUCACACAGAAAGAUCCCGACCCCAGGAUUGAACCCAGGACUACUCAGGACCUUCAUUGCUCUGCCCACUUCCUGUUAAGAACCAGGAAGUGUUGACAGGGAUGGGACUGUUGCUAUGGUGUGGUUACCAUGGUAGCCUACUUAAAUUGGGUUCAGGUGUAAGCACAGGCGGGGCGAUUGGAGGACAAACAGUUUUCGACCUUGCCGUGACAAUGCUGUAACAAUGUGCCAUUCAAGGUCAGCAUACUUUUUGUUAUAUAUAGCUUACCUUUGAUUUAAUUUGGAUAGCAUAAAAUAAACGUAUUGUCAUAUCCACACACCUUUCUACGAUUCUGGACAUUCUAUCAUUUACACGCGUCAACACAGUCGCCCUCAGUAUCGGCCCAGAGGUUAGGGCUGUACAAAUGCUAUUGACAGUUUAACGAUAUCAACACAAUAUUUAAACUGGUUCCUUAUUUUCUUGUAUUUCUUAGAAUUGUUAGAUCAAAACAAAGUCAAGACGACUCAAUAACUAAACAAAAGCAAAAAAUCCUAUCUACUCUUUUAAAUCCUUUGGCUUUUGACUCCAAAGCCCUUCUGUGUCCAGGUAAUUAUAUCCUGAAUUUGUAAACAUGAACAAA
Nerophis ophidion (straightnose pipefish) is the source of this 801-nucleotide long non-coding RNA. RefSeq lists it as uncharacterized. The transcript has 3 exons. The record is from RefSeq and is a predicted model, not a curated record. NCBI's taxonomy places the organism in Eukaryota, Metazoa, Chordata, Actinopteri, Syngnathiformes, Syngnathidae.